UACAGAGGGUGCAAGCGUUAAUCGGAAUUACUGGGCGUAAAGCGUGCGUAGACGGUAGCGUAAGUCGGGUGUGAAAGCCCCGGGCUCAACCUGGGAAUGGCAUUCGGGACUGCUCUGCUAGGGUGCGGAAGAGGGGAGCGGAAUUUCCGGUGUAGCGGUGAAAUGCGUAGAUAUCGGAAGGAACAUCAGUGGCGAAAGCGGCUUCCUGGACCAGCACCGACGUCAGGCACGAAAGCGUGGGGAGCAAACAGG
RNAcentral lists this ribosomal RNA (252 nucleotides) under uncultured bacterium. Its description in RNAcentral is "partial 16S ribosomal RNA". It matches the Rfam family "Bacterial small subunit ribosomal RNA", at positions 524 to 776 of the family's 1533-position model. The record is from RNAcentral.